UCCCUGGUGGUUCAGCAGGUUAAGGAUCCAGCAUUGUCAGUGCGGUAAUGCAGGUUCGAUCCCUGGCUGGGGAA
This 74-nucleotide transfer RNA is filed under the name Sus scrofa (pig). It matches the Rfam family "tRNA". Rfam says of the family: Transfer RNA (tRNA) molecules are approximately 80 nucleotides in length. Their secondary structure includes four short double-helical elements and three loops (D, anti-codon, and T loops). Further hydrogen bonds mediate the characteristic L-shaped molecular structure. tRNAs have two regions of fundamental functional importance: the anti-codon, which is responsible for specific mRNA codon recognition, and the 3' end, to which the tRNAs corresponding amino acid is attached (by aminoacyl-tRNA synthetases). tRNAs cope with the degeneracy of the genetic code in two manners: having more than one tRNA (with a specific anti-codon) for a particular amino acid; and 'wobble' base-pairing, i.e. permitting non-standard base-pairing at the 3rd anti-codon position. Lineage: Eukaryota; Metazoa; Chordata; Mammalia; Artiodactyla; Suidae. The record is from Rfam by way of RNAcentral.